CUAAGAAUCUUCCGCAAUGGGGGAAACCCUGACGGAGCGACGCCGCGUGGACGAUGAAGGCCGUAAGGUUGUAAAGUCCUUUUGCAGGUGAAGAAUAAGCCGGGGAGUGGAAUGCCCUGGUGAUGACGUUAGCCUGCGAAUAAGCCCCGGCCAAUUACGUGCCAGCAGCCGCGGUAAUACGUAUGGGGCGAGCGUUGUUCGGAGUUAUUGGGCGUAAAGGGCGUGUAGGCGGCUCGAGAAGUUUGGUGUGAAAUCGCAGGGCUCAACCCUGCGGGUGCGCUGGAAACUGACGGGCUUGAGUCCCGGGGGUAAGCUGGAAUUCCUGGUGUAGGAGUGAAGUCUGUAGAGAUCAGGAAGAACACCGGUGGCGAAGGCGAGCUUCUAUUCGAGGACUGACGCUGAGGCGCGAAAGCGUGGGGAGCAAACAG
Molecule: ribosomal RNA, 428 nt
Filed under: uncultured bacterium
Lineage: Bacteria
Description: bacterial SSU rRNA
Rfam family: Bacterial small subunit ribosomal RNA
Source: RNAcentral